This is a non-coding RNA of Amphiprion ocellaris (clown anemonefish), 782 nucleotides long. NCBI's taxonomy places the organism in Eukaryota, Metazoa, Chordata, Actinopteri, Pomacentridae. The record is from the annotation of a RefSeq genome assembly.
GUCAGUCAACACAGCAGAAAGCACAACCACCAUGACUCUCAUCUCCAUCCUCAUCUGGACGCUGCUCUGCUGCUUCUUCCAAGGUUCUAAUGGUCAACUGACUGUGACUCAGCCUGCAGCAAAAACAUCUUCAUUUGGAUCCACAGUCACUCUGACCUGUAACAUCAACCCAAAAGUUACAUCUUGGACAGAUGGAGAUAGUAGAGUAAACUGGUAUCAGCAGAAAUCUGGACAAGCUCCAAAGUUGGUCAUCAAAUAUGGUAAAAAUCCCACAGAUGACUUUUCCUCUCGAUUCUCUGGAAGAGGAAACGGACAAAAUAAUGAAAUGACCAUCAGUGGAGUUCAGGCUGAAGAUGCAGCAGUUUACUACUGUAAGGCUUAUGAGGAAAUAAACAGUGUCUGGGUGUUGACACAGUGAUUUAUGGUCGUACAAAAACCUCCUCAGUCAGACUGCAGAGACUCUGAACUGUUACAGCAGGAACCAAGUGCAGCUGCUGAAGAGGAAGAAACUCUGACACAGACCACUGAACACAGAGCUGACAGGAACCUCACCAAGCUCCACCAACUUUAUUCUAAUAUAAAGCACACUCUGCAUGAUGUGUGUUGGUAUUUUAUAAAAUACAUUUAUUGCCUGAUAAAAAAAAAAAAAAAUUUUCCUGAUCACACAUUUCACUUAUGAGCAUGAUUUGGUUCACACAGUUGUUCUUCAACAUGUUUCUUGUUUCUUGAGAAGUUGAAAUGAUGAUCACAGAAACAUUAUUAGAACCAAACAACAAAAUACA